Molecule: long non-coding RNA, 5742 nt
Organism: Felis catus (domestic cat)
Lineage: Eukaryota; Metazoa; Chordata; Mammalia; Carnivora; Felidae
Exons: 4
Source: RefSeq, a predicted model, not a curated record
GCUCAUGGGGUGGGGGGUGGGGGUGUUGUAAGGGAUCAACACAUUUCUCUGUCAUCGCUACAGUCACUGCUGAGCAGUGGGUCAUCUGGUCUGGUUCAUGGGGAAGAAAUAAGGCAGCCGGAUGGUCAUAGGUCUGUUCUGGCAGAGGGGUGAGGACUCGGGGCUUAUUUCUCUCUGGCCUGUGCCAUCUGUGGAUACGAGCUCCCCAUAAGUGAGCUUCAGGAGGCCAGUCCCCAGGCAGGUGGGAGAAGCCCAAGGAGGCUGUCUAACCUCUGAGAAGGGCCACAGGGAUCACCUGGAUGUGUGAGCCCUACCAGGCAGGCACAGCAGUCCUCGGGGAGACUGGGAGACCGGAAGAAGGCUGGGCUCUUGACUCUAGGUUCUUUGGGCCCAUGGGAAUUUCUGUGUAGAUUUACUCCAUUCAUUAUUCAGUCAGUUUACCGAUGCCAACCCCAGCCUGGGCGCUGGGGACACACUUGUCCUCAAGGAGAUACUAUCCCAGGAGGGAGGUGAGCUCAGAGUGGGUAGUGGUCAGGGCCUCCGGAUGAAGCCAGGUCAACCUCUCUGGAAGUUCAGAAGGGGAAGAAGUCAUCCAACCUGGGGGCAUCAGGGAAGGCUUCCUGUGGAAGGUGAUAUUUAGGCUGAGCCUUGAAAACAUGACUGUGAAGAGAUAGCAUGGGAUAAAAAGGGCAUUCGGUGUCUAAGGAACAGCAAAGGCCUGGUCAUGGGAACUCAGCUUGGGAGGUGUUGGUCAGAGGCAGGCAGAGGGGUCUGGACUCACUGUAGCUAUCCCCUGAGCCAGGGAGCCACCUCUGUCCCUCACAUGCAUGUGCACAUGUAGGGGUCACGUUCCAGCUUGCUGGAGACGAGAGGAGAGCUCCUGCCCUGGCUCUCCUGAUUAAUCUAUAAUUAAAUCAGCACAGACGCCACAGAACUGUGCUGUCAUUAGAGAGUUCGUAAGGGCAAACAGUGAUUUCUCCACUAACCAAGAGCCCUGCCAGGGGGCUGCAGCUCUGGUCAUGCACAGACAGCCAUCAGGGGCAAGAUGCAAGCACAGGAGGCCAGAGCUUCAGGCAGGAAUAAGAAAACCGGCAGCUCACACUUUGGCCAUUUAUACAGUGUUCCCGUCACUACCUUGGUUAAGCCUGACAAUGACACGAUGGCCAUGGGUGGGGCUUGGGGGGGACUAUUAUUUAUUUGCUCCCAUUUUACAGAUACAGAAACUGAGGUGCAGAAAGCACAAGGGUGAAACAGCCCGGUUGGUUUCAGAAUUGCCAGAGGUGCCUCUUGCCAGCUGUGUGGUCUCAAGCAGAUUGCUUACCCUCUCUGUCCCUCAGUUUCUUUGUCUGUGUAAUGAGGCCGAAACACUGUCACUUCAAAAUAUUGGUUUUAAGGACUGAAUGAAGCAAUCCAUGCAAAGAAUUUAGCAGCGUUUGAUGCUUAUCAAAUGCUACUACUUAUGAUCAUGCUUUGUUAUAAUUGCUUGUUUCUUGUCCUCCUUUCCCACGAGAAUGCAGGCUCCAUGAGGAUAGGGACUAUGUCCAUCUUGUUCAUUGCUGUGACUCCAGCAAUUGUCACUUGGUAGUGUUCGGAUUCAAGGGACAAGUACAGAUCUGCCUUGACUCACGAUGGAGUUAAUGUCCUGAUAAGUGGAAAAUACAGGUCUUCGGACCUGCAGAGAGGUCAGAGGGGCUGGAGUCUGCAGCCCACCGGACACAGAAGGGAUCAGAGGGAAUCUGCCUGUGGCGGUUCAGAGGAUCGUUACUGUCUCUGUGCUGCAGUUUCCAACCUCUCCGCUGGGAUCUGAGAUGUGGAAACUGAGGCCCCGUGAGGUUGGGUGACUUUCCCAGUCACAGCCAGUGUGUAACAGAGCCAAGAUCUGAACCCACGCCUGCUCACUCUGGAGCCCACACUCCUGCCACACUGUGAAGGAAUACAUGAACACUCAAAAAAUUUGGGAAACACAGGAAAGAAGGAAGAGGGAAAAGUCCUACAUAGCUCCCCCUCCCCAACCUUGGGAUAUAUUUCAUUAACAGCCUGGGAAUCUCCUACUUCUUUUGGCUGAGCCUGUGGGUACAAGCGAGUGACUGGCCUGGCCGAGGUCACACAGAUCAGCACAGUCAGGAUUUGAAUUCAGACUAUGGGAGGCCAGAAUUUGAGGUGAACUCAAUGUGGCUCAGGCCUCAGGGAGCCGUUUCCAGUCUUAUGGGAGAAAUGGAAGCAAACAGGUGUGGCUUAGUUUGGCCUCCCCCAGAAGGAGACCUCGAGACAGUGAGGAGCACAGGGGGUUUCUUUGGGAGGUGAUCCCAGUAAGUAGGAGGCAGAGCAGGUGGAGGGUGAGACGGGGCAGGAGUGAAUGUCAAUAAAAUGUGCAUUAGUGAGCGGCUCCUGGAACUCAUCCUGCUGGGGACCUUCUGAGAAAUGGUGGAGAGGACACCUCAGAACCCUCUCCCUGAAGGAGGCUGGGCAUUCACCUAUUGGUUCCCGACCACCAUGACCGAAGGUUGCUCCUGGGGGCAUUCACUCUUCUGCCUUUCCAAGUUGUCCUGUGCUUGGGCAGAGCAAACUCUUGUGGCUUCAGAAAACGCCAUCAUCAGGCAGAAAAGUGGAGGAACCGGUGUCUGGGAGCUGACCGGUGUCCAUGGCUGAAGCUGGAGUCCCAGGUGGACACCAACAACAGUUGCUAUGAGGUGUUUGAGACAUAGAGUGUUUUGGUCAUCAUAAAGCACUUGGGGAGUCUAGAGUUAACAAUACUGUAUUGCAUACUUGAAAUUUGCGAAGAAGGUAAACCUUCAGUGUUCUCACUACAAGAAAAAAAGGGAACUAUGUGGGGGUGAUGGACAUGUUAAUAAACUUGAUUGCGGUGAUCAUGCCACAACGUAUACAUAUAUCAAAACACCAGGAUGUACCCUGUACAUAAAUAUAAUUUUUGUUUGUCGAUUAUACCUUAAUAAAGCUGACGGAAAAAAUAAACAAAUAAAUGCUUGGUAAUACUAAAGGGAAACAAAUUAAGUAUUUGGAAGUGACAAACUGGGAAUGGAGAGUAGGGUGCAGAAGUCAGGGAAGGUUUCCCCAGAGUGAGUGACAUCGAGCUGGAUUUAGAGAGGUGAGCAGUGGGGGAAGAGGCAUCCCAGGUAGUAGGGCCUGCACACAGCUUGUCCUCCGGAGAGACUGCAGAGCCUGGACCUGAGCCCUGGGGUCUGACCAGAAUUGAAUUAGGAAAUGGUGCAAAGACCAAACGGUGAAGGGUUUUAAAGACCAGGCUGAGGGGUUCAAACUUCCUUCCCGAGUGUUAGGGAGCCCAUGCAGGGUUCUGAGCACAGGGGUGGCACCAGAUCCGUGUUCUAGAAAGAUCUGUCUUUCUAGACAGACAGGGCUGGGGUGGAGGGUGGUUUGGGAGGGGGUAGACUGGAGCAGGAGCCAUGGAAAGAGGCUGGAGUAGCAGUGGAGUCAGGAGAUGUGGAGGCUGAGCCGGCUGAGACAGAGUAAUGGGGAGGAGGCAUCAGACCCCAAGGCUGUUUAGGAGAAGGUUUGGGAUGUAGGGUGGGGUGAGGAGGAGGCCAACCCUCCCUGGCUUCGGGGGCCCUGGGAAGCUCGUCCCUUUCCCUUUCCCCCAAGGGGCUGUCCAGAUGCCCGACUGCCUUGGAGAAUGGCGCUAGGGCCAGGCCUCCCCAGAUCUGGUCGUGAUGGAUCUGGACAUUAUCUGUUUUGGUCACAAGCCGAGUCUUAUCAUUAGCUAGCUGUGGUCACUGUCUGGAUCUAGUCAUUACCAGAGCUGGUCAUUACCCAGGGCUGGAGGUUACCUGCUGCCAAAUGGACUCUAUUUGGUUUGAGUCAUUCCAUCCUCUUCCAGGGUCCUUCCUGAAGCCCCGGCUCUCUGCCUGAGGACAUUAAUAUUCUGAAUUCUGAGGAUAUAUUUUCCCAGUUUCUUUGUUCUCAUUUUAUUACAUGUACAAAUGCUUACACAAUGUAUUUUUUAACUUAUCAACUUUAAAAUAAGAACAGCAUCUAGCCUUUUUAAAAAGCGAAAUGUUGUAUUGAUGAGAAUUCACCUAUGUUGUUGAGUAUAGUUGUGACUCACUCAUUUUGAGGGCCAUGUGUGACUGUACCACAAUCCAUUUAUCUAUUUAUUCAUUCUCUUGCCCAUUGAUAAUUGGAUUGUUGUCAGGAUUUCUGCUAUCACAAACAGCGCUGCUAUGGAUAUUCUUGUGCAUUUUUCCUGAUGCUCCACAAAAUGUGGUCUGAGAAUCAACAGCCUUAGCAUCACCUGGAAACAUGUUAGAAAUGCAGAAUCUUUGGCCCUGCCCUAGAUUCGCUGGAUCAGAAUCUGCCUUUUUGCAAGAUCCCUGGGUGAUUUCCACAGACAUUAAAGUUUGAGAAGCCCUGGCUCAGCAUACAUGUGCAUGGGUGUCUCUGGGCAGACGUACCCAGGAAUGGAUUCACUGGGUGACAGUGGUAUAUUGGCACGCCCUCCCCUCAGCAGACAGAAGAGCUGGAUCCAUCUACCUCUUCACUGACACUUAGUAUUGUCAGACUUUCUUCGUUUCUGCCAGUUGAAUGGGUGUGAAGUGGCAUCUCAUCAUAGUCUUGAUUUACAUUUCCCUGAUGACUAAUGAGGUCAGGCACCUCCUUGUGUAUUGACUGGCCACGCGUUCCCCUUCUGUGAGACAUCGUGGUGGUGUUUUUUUGCUUUUGUUUCUCUUUUAGACUCACUCAACUCAGCCCCUGGUUUUAUAUUUACUGUUCUCUCAGCCUGAAACACCUUCUGCGUUCCCUGUUCGGUGUCAUUUCUUCCAGGAAGCCCUCCCUGACUGCUGCUUGGGCUGUGAGCUGCUUCAGCCUCACAGGCAGGAAAACAUGGUGCCACGGCCCCUUCAUUUCAUUUCCUUAUUGAAGAGACUGCAAACCAGUAUGACUUGGUUCCUACAGAAUUAAUUCUUUUUUCAAUUUAGUUGCCAUAAUUUAAAUUUAGGAGAUUUUGCAUUAAAAAAUAUGAAUUGCUGAUUUCUUAAAAAAAGGGGGGGGGGAGAUGUGGCCCACUGAGCCUCCUUUCCCACAUGGCAACAAUCCGCUGGCACUGGGGCUGCCCCUACCUACCAGUCCCUAGGACUUCAUCCUCAUACCCUGCUUCAGUGACCUGCCCAGGCCCUGCGGACUUUAAAGUUUAUGACCGUAGCCUAAGCACAUCAGUUGUUUACUCCUCUAAAUCUCUCCCAUCCUUCCCUGCCUCCCCAUAAUUCUGUUCCUGUCCCUGUUCAGACCUUUAUACCUCUCUCCUAGACUGUUACACAAGACUCCCUCUGCCUUCCUUCUCUAGUCUUGCCAUUUCUGGUCCACUGACCCCACUCAAGAAUCAGCAAUGUCUCCCAAUUACUUUCCCAGGCACCACCUGACUUUCUUUAAAAAAAAAAAAAAGUAUUAAUACAUUAUGAAUGUUUCAUGAUCACAAAAAAAAGUCUAGAGAACAGUAUAACAAACGCCUGGGUACCCACCACCCAACUUAAGAAAUAAACCAUUUCAAGUGUAUUUGAAGCCCCUGUUACAUUCCCUUCUCCCUCUCUCUCAGGGUCACUACCCUUUUUAAUUUGCUAUUUAUCACUCCUGUAUGUAGUUUGUAUGUAUGACAUAUGUAUGUGUCCCUAAACAAUACAUAGUGUUGUGUUGCAUGCUUUCAAACUUUAUAUAUCUGACAAAAACUGUUUAUCCAUCUGCAACUUGUUUUUUUCAUCCAACAAUAUAUAU